This 449-nucleotide ribosomal RNA is filed under the name uncultured bacterium. Its description in RNAcentral is "partial 16S ribosomal RNA". It matches the Rfam family "Bacterial small subunit ribosomal RNA", at positions 330 to 795 of the family's 1533-position model. The record is from RNAcentral.
UCCAGACUCCUACGGGAGGCAGCAGUGGGGGAUAUUGCACAAUGGGGGGAACCCUGAUGCAGCGACGCCGCGUGGGUGAAGGAGCGUUUCGGCGCGUAAAGCCCUAUCGGCAGGGAAGAAGGAGGACGGUACCUGACUAAGAAGCCCCGGCUAACUACGUGCCAGCAGCCGCGGUAAUACGUAGGGGGCAAGCGUUAUCCGGAUUUACUGGGUGUAAAGGGGGCGCAGACGGCAGCGCAAGCCAGGAGUGAAAGCCCGGGGCCCAACCCCGGGACUGCUCUUGGAACUGCGCGGCUGGAGUGCAGGAGGGGCAGGCGGAAUUCCUGGUGUAGCGGUGAAAUGCGUAGAUAUCAGGAGGAACACCGGUGGCGAAGGCGGCCUGCUGGACUGCAACUGACGUUGAGGCCCGAAAGCGUGGGGAGCAAACAGGAUUAGAUACCCUCGUACCC